CCACGGGCUGACGCCCGCGGCUACAUUCUGUCGCACCUUUGGUGCU
This 46-nucleotide small RNA is filed under the name Phycisphaerae bacterium RAS2. RNAcentral's name for it is "Acido-Lenti-1 RNA". It matches the Rfam family "Acido-Lenti-1 RNA". Lineage: Bacteria; Pseudomonadati; Planctomycetota; Phycisphaerae. The record is from Rfam by way of RNAcentral.